UAUUUCAAAUCUCAGUUUACACCUUCACACUCAUCUCUCUCUAUCCACCAUUGGCGUCGAGUUCGCCACUCAGACCUUGAAAGUCGAUGAAAAGGUUAUCAAGGCUCAGAUUUGGGACACCGCUGGUCAAGAAAGGUACUGUGCCAUCACCAGUGCAUACUACCGUGGAGCCGUUAGUAUAUGAUACUACCCGCCGUGCAACUAUUGAGAACGUAGACCGGUGGUUUAAGGAGCCUCAAGAACCACACAGACCCUAACAUUGUGGUGAUGCUCGUUGGUAACAAGUCUUAUCUGCGCCAUUUGCUAGCUGUUCCCACGGAAGAUGGGAAAUCCUAUGCUGAGCAGGGAUCGCUUUGGUGAUCCUCUUGUCUUGUAAUAAUAUUGACAUCUAUAUGAGUUUUAGACUACACAUUAUUAUAUAGUGUUUCUUUAGCUUUA
Molecule: long non-coding RNA, 438 nt
Organism: Brassica oleracea var. oleracea
Lineage: Eukaryota; Viridiplantae; Streptophyta; Magnoliopsida; Brassicales; Brassicaceae
Exons: 2
Source: RefSeq, a predicted model, not a curated record